GGCGUGGAGAAGACCUUCACAUCUACAGCUGGGUCUGCUGCGUGAACAUGGCUGUGCUGGGGAUUUUAGCGGCGCUGGGGAUUUUCCUGGGUGCUGCAAAUGCAGCCACUUUGGGAGUCGUCUCCACUGAAGGAGGGAUGGUGGAGGGGAAGAACAAUGGUGUUGGACUCUUCCGCUACAUGGACGUCUUUAAGGGAGUCCCCUUCGCUGCCCCACCUGGACGAUUCCAGAAACCCGUUCCUCACCCAGGCUGGACAGGAGUUCUGAAGGCCACAGAGUUCUCUAAGAGGUGUCUGCAGUUGACCCUGCUGCAGAGUGGAACUCGCGGCAGUGAGGACUGCCUGUACCUCAACAUCUGGGUUCCUCAGGGACGUUCAGUCUCUACUGGUCUGCCGGUCAUGCUGUUCUUCUAUGGUGGAGCUUUCCUGAUGGGCGGUUCUCAGGGGGCUAACUUUUUGGAUAACUACCUGUACAGUGGAGAGGAGAUCGCAGACAGGGGGAAUGUGAUCGUGGUGACGGUGAACUAUCGUCUCGGCACCCUUGGGUUCCUGAGCUCAGGAGAUUCAGAAUUACCUGGUAACUAUGGUCUGUGGGAUCAGCACGCUGCUAUUGGCUGGGUGUUCAGGAACAUCAAAGCUUUUGGAGGAGAUCCUUCCAACAUCACCAUCUUUGGAGAGUCUGCUGGAGGAGCCAGCGUGAGCUUCCAGAUGCUGUCCCCCCACAACAAGGGCAUGAUCCGCAGAGCUAUCUCUCAGAGUGGUGUCGCUCUGUGCCCGUGGGCUGUGAACAGAAAUCCCAGGGCAUAUGCUGAGGAGGUUGCUAAGAAUGUGGGCUGUCCCACUGAUCAGAGCAUGUUCAGCUGCCUGAAGAUGACUGACCCGUCCCAGCUCACUCUGGCCGGCCCAGUCAGCCUGGGUAGCUCUCCAUCCAACCCCGUAGUGAACAACCUGUCCCUUUCUCCUGUGAUUGAUGGUGAUUUCCUCCCUGAUGAGCCCAGCAACCUGUUCGGCAACGCUGCUGACAUUGACUAUAUAGCUGGAAUCAAUGACAUGGACGGUCACAUGUUCAGUGGGGUUGAUGUUCCUUCUGUCAACCAGCCCCUCCAGAACACCCCUGUGGAAGAUGUGAAGGAGCUCCUGACUGCUUUGACCAGAGUGAAGGGUCCAGAAGCUGCAGCUUCUGCUUUCAGCCAGUACAGCUCAGGCUGGUCAAGCAAACCAACCAACGUGGAGGUCAAGAAGACGAUUGUGGACAUCGAGACGGAUUACAUCUUCUUAGUGCCGACCCAGACUGCCCUGUAUCUGCACAACAAGCACGCCAACACGGCUCGUACCUACUCGUACCUGUUCUCUGAGCCCAGCCGCAUGCCUAUCUACCCCAGCUGGAUGGGUGCUGAUCAUGCUGAUGAUCUGCAGUAUGUGUUUGGAAAGCCCUUCGCCACUCCUCUGGGUUACUGGCCUCGUCACCGUAAAGUCUCCAAAUACAUGAUCGCUUACUGGACCAACUUUGCCAAAACUGGUGACCCCAACUCAGGACCCUCUGAGGUUCCUGUGACCUGGCCCAGACUCACCGGACAAGACCACCAGUUUGUGGACAUCAACAACAGCAUGGGCAAGACUUCUGUCAAGCAGAAACUGAGGAGUCGCUUCGUCCACUUCUGGACCAACACCUUCAUCAGCUUCCCCAACGUCAACUAAACACACCACAGCUUCAACAUCUCCAGUUAGUUCAUUAUCAGGCUGUGCUUCCUGUUAUAACUACUGUAUUAAAUAAUCAGACCUCAGGAACCCGCUGGACAGCCCAUGUUUUUGUUGCGCUUUCUUUCCCAACACCUAAAAACAGGUUAUCAGUCCUGAUUGGGUGGCUGAGUUGCAAUAGAAUGAAUUAGAUUUAGAGCUGGGGCUACCUGAGUGCUCGACUAAAAUCUACAUACCAAAUGAUUUCCUUUUUUUAAUGGAUCAUCCUACAAUAUAUUUGUUGCUUUUACCAAUUUACUACACAUAUUAUUCUAGCAGAAUAUCAACUGCUUUUCACUUUGGAAACAUUUUCCCCUCAUUAAACUUCACUGCAUAGCAA
Molecule: RNA transcript, 2076 nt
Organism: Astyanax mexicanus (Mexican tetra)
Lineage: Eukaryota; Metazoa; Chordata; Actinopteri; Characiformes; Acestrorhamphidae
Gene: cel.2
Gene name: carboxyl ester lipase, tandem duplicate 2
Exons: 12
Source: RefSeq, a predicted model, not a curated record